CUGUCUCUUGCUUCAACAGUGCUUGGAGGGAACAG
Regulatory RNA element from Ovis aries (sheep), 35 nucleotides. It matches the Rfam family "Iron response element I". The record is from Rfam. Lineage: Eukaryota; Metazoa; Chordata; Mammalia; Artiodactyla; Bovidae.